This 1489-nucleotide ribosomal RNA is filed under the name metagenome. RNAcentral describes it as "bacterial SSU rRNA". It matches the Rfam family "Bacterial small subunit ribosomal RNA". The record is from RNAcentral.
GUUUGAUCCUGGCUCAGAUUGAACGCUGGCGGCAUGCUUUACACAUGCAAGUCGAACGGUAACGCGGGGGCAACCCUGGCGACGAGUGGCGAACGGGUGAGUAAUACAUCGGAACAUAUCCAGUAGCGGGGGAUAACCUAUCGAAAGAUGGACUAAUACCGCAUACGAUCUACGGAUGAAAGCAGGGGACCGCAAGGCCUUGCACUAUUGGAGUGGCCGAUGUCGGAUUAGCUAGUUGGUGAGGUAAAGGCUUACCAAGGCGACGAUCCGUAGCUGGUCUGAGAGGACGAUCAGCCACACUGGAACUGAGACACGGUCCAGACUCCUACGGGAGGCAGCAGUGGGGAAUUUUGGACAAUGGGCGCAAGCCUGAUCCAGCCAUGCCGCGUGAGUGAAGAAGGCCUUCGGGUUGUAAAGCUCUUUCGGUGAAGACGAAACGGUUCGUGCUAAUAACGCGGACUAAUGACGGUACUCACAGAAGAAGCACCGGCUAACUACGUGCCAGCAGCCGCGGUAAUACGUAGGGUGCAGGCGUUAAUCGGAAUUACUGGGCGUAAAGCGUGCGCAGGCGGUUUGCUAAGACAGGUGUGAAAUCCCCGGGCUUAACCUGGGAAUUGCGCUUGUAACUGGCAAGCUAGAGUGUAGCAGAGGGGGGUGGAAUUCCACGUGUAGCAGUGAAAUGCGUAGAUAUGUGGAGGAACACCGAUGGCGAAGGCAGCCCCCUGGGUUAACACUGACGCUCAUGCACGAAAGCGUGGGGAGCAAACAGGAUUAGAUACCCUGGUAGUCCACGCCCUAAACUAUGUCAACUAGUUGUCGGGGAAGAAAUUCCUUGGUAACGAAGCUAACGCGUGAAGUUGACCGCCUGGGGAGUACGGCCGCAAGGUUAAAACUCAGAGGAAUUGACGGGGACCCGCACAAGCGGUGGAUUAUGUGGAUUAAUUCGAUGCAACGCGAAAAACCUUACCUACCCUUGACAUGCUAGGAAGCCCGCAGAGAUGUGGGUGUGCCCGAAAGGGAACCUAGACACAGGUGCUGCAUGGCUGUCGUCAGCUCGUGUCGUGAGAUGUUGGGUUAAGUCCCGCAACGAGCGCAACCCUUCCAUUAGUUGCUACAUUCAGUUGGGCACUCUAAUGGGACCGCCGGUGACAAACCGGAGGAAGGUGGGGAUGACGUCAAGUCCUCAUGGCCCUUAUGGGUAGGGCUUCACACGUAAUACAAUGGUCGGUACAGAGGGCUGCCAACCCGCAAGGGGGAGCUAAUCCCAGAAAGCCGAUCGUAGUCCGGAUUGUAGUCUGCAACUCGACUGCAUGAAGCCGGAAUCGCUAGUAAUCGCGGAUCAGCAUGUCGCGGUGAAUACGUUCCCGGGUCUUGUACACACCGCCCGUCACACCAUGGGAGUGUGUUCCACCAGAAGUAGUUAGCCUAACCGCAAGGAGGGCGAUUACCACGGUGAGAUUCAUGACUGGGGUGAAGUCGGAACAAGGUA